RNAcentral lists this unclassified non-coding RNA (390 nucleotides) under soil metagenome. RNAcentral describes it as "partial contains 5.8S ribosomal RNA, internal transcribed spacer 2, and large subunit ribosomal RNA". The stretch from base 1 to 121 matches the Rfam family "5.8S ribosomal RNA", at positions 35 to 154 of the family's 154-position model. The record is from RNAcentral.
GAUGAAGAACGUAGCGAAAUGCGAUACUUGGUGUGAAUUGCAGAAUCCCGUGAACCAUCGAGUCUUUGAACGCAAGUUGCCCCGAAGCCAUUAGGCCGAGGGCACGCCUGCCUGGGCGUCACACGUCGUUGCCCCCCCAUCUACUCCUUCGGGAUUGCGGGGGGCGGAUGAUGGCCUCCCGUGCGCCUCGCCGCGCGGUUGGCAUAAAUGCCAAGUCCUCGGCGACGCACGCCACGACAAUCGGUGGUUGCGAAACCUCGGUUGCCCGUCGUGUGCGGUCGUCGCGCAUCGAGGGCUCGAAAAAAUUGCCGGGUUCCGGCUCGGCUUUCAACGCGACCCCAGGUCAGGCGGGGUUACCCGCUGAAUUUAAGCAUAUCAAUAAGCGGAGGA